RNAcentral lists this ribosomal RNA (253 nucleotides) under uncultured bacterium. Its description in RNAcentral is "partial 16S ribosomal RNA". It matches the Rfam family "Bacterial small subunit ribosomal RNA", at positions 524 to 776 of the family's 1533-position model. The record is from RNAcentral.
UACGUAGGGGGCUAGCGUUGUCCGGAAUCAUUGGGCGUAAAGAGCGUGUAGGCGGCCCGGUAAGUCCGCUGUGAAAGUCGGGGGCUCAACCUCGAGACGCCGAUGGAAACCAUUUGGCUAGAGUCCGGAAGAGGAGAGUGGAAUUCCUGGUGUAGCGGUGAAAUGCGCAGAUAUCAGGAAGAACACCCGUGGCUAAGGCGGCUCUCUAGUACGGUACUGACGCUGAGACGCGAAAGCGUGGGGAGCGAACAGG